Long non-coding RNA from Salmo salar (Atlantic salmon), 1444 nucleotides. RefSeq lists it as uncharacterized. The record is from RefSeq and is a predicted model, not a curated record. NCBI's taxonomy places the organism in Eukaryota, Metazoa, Chordata, Actinopteri, Salmoniformes, Salmonidae.
CAUAAAGAGUUAAACUGUUCCUUAUGAAUUUGUAGAAAUGAUGCGAAAAUAAGACAUUAUGGGCACAGAUAGAACAAAUCUUGAUUAUAAGUAUAUUUGUUAUGGGGGUAUAUUUUUCUACUCGUGUGAUGUUUAUUUGAAAGACUGUAGAUUAUAAAUAAAUCACACCUUGGUCUGCGGAAGAAAAAAUAUAUAAUGCGUCACAAUGUACUUGAAAAGGUACAAUAUUUCCUGUUCUGUCUUUCUUCUACCACAGGGAACAGACAUCCGCUUACCUUAAAGUUCGUGAUCCUUUGAGAACUUAAUGAAUACAGCAGUGCUGAGGCAGAGGGCUUGUAGUGAGGACGACUGGAUACUAUUCUGAACUCUGUGUGGUGAGCUUUUUGGUGCCCAGAGCUGCAUCAACCAAGUGGAGGCAACACAGAGUGGAAGCCCAGUGGUUAUAAGUCUCAGGCUGGUUCCCAGACUUGCCCAUAUCUACAAGAUCAUCAGCAGACUCCAUCAAUAUCAUCUACCAUCCUCUGACCAGCUCCCUUCACUCAAGCCAUGAACUGACCCUCUCCAUCUUCAGAGGAUGCAGCAUUAAAAGACAUGGCCUCUCUUGGUUGACCUGUCAUAAUACUGUACAUUGCUUGUUUGUUUUUUGCUCUUGAACCGCUUUGAGAUUAUUUGAAAAACUCUUCUUAUUCUUUUUUUUUCUUCUUCGUCUGUGGAUUUUAUACGGCUGUUGGCAACCAACUUAAGGUGCAUUACCGCCACCAACUGGACUGGAGUGUGAACCAGAGACAGUGAAGGUCUAAAUCCUACCCAAUAAUCUAAUCUCCCUAAGGAAACAAAAUACAUAAUUAAAUACUACAUCCCCUGAAGAUUUCCCCAGCAGUUCACUUAAUCCUGGCUCUUCAACCCCAUUACUCCACAAAUCUAAUAAAAUGUGCUCCCUUUCUCACAUAUUUCUGGCACUGAAAUGGAACAUGUUCCACUGUGUUCAUCUUCUCCUGACAAUGAUCACACCUCCCAGUCAGAUGUUUCCCCACCACUUUCAAUGUACUAUUUAGCCUUGUACGUCCCAGUCUCAGCCUUGUGACUACACUUUCCUCACUUCUCUCUCGGCCUGAGGACCUCUCUGCCCCCACCUUUUCCUGGAUCUUAUACAGGUGUCUUCCCUUACACACCCUGUUACACAACUCUUGCCACUUAUUUUUAACCAUCAGAUCAUCUGAUAUCAUCCCCUAUGUCACAGGGAACAGCACUAGCUGUAGCACUUAACAGAGUUUGGUCUUGUUGCUCUUUGGUCCUUUCAAAAUAGAAACUCUGUAGAACAUUGACUACAAUAUUGUCUGUGAGUUGGCUAAUGUUGUUGAGCCUAUAUAGUUGAAUCUUAAAUGAAAAUAAAAUGUUCACACUACAAGAUUAUCACCAUGUGAUAUAGUGUGAAUGCGACCAA